Long non-coding RNA from Hydra vulgaris (swiftwater hydra), 951 nucleotides. RefSeq lists it as uncharacterized. The record is from RefSeq and is a predicted model, not a curated record. NCBI's taxonomy places the organism in Eukaryota, Metazoa, Cnidaria, Hydrozoa, Anthoathecata, Hydridae.
AAAUUUUCUAUUUGAAUAUUCUAUCCUUAAAAAAGGCGCCACAUGAAAACUCUGUUUAAGACCCCAAUUUAGCAUGUGAAUCAAUGGGCAUUAGUCGAUACAUCUUUUAAAUAUUUUUCCAGCUGCAUCGUUUAACAUUAACGUCUUUUCCUGCUCACAUUAGCGUAGUUUUAUUGCAAAAAAAAAAAAAAAAUUAAAUAAAGAAGAUUAAUAAAUUUUAUUGUUGGUACCGUUAAACAAUACAUUUAUCUAAAACAAAUAUUCUAACGAAAGUUUAACUGGCAUUAAAUGGCAUACAUAGAAAGCAAAAAAGAAAUUGAAAAUACAAUAAAGAAAAUAUUCUAAACGGAAGAAAAUUAUUUUCAAGAUUAUAUCGGGAAACCUAGGGAAACGUAGCAAUUCAAAAAGAUUUUACUUUCAAUAAAUAUAACGCUACCGUGUCAAGCAGCCUUUCGCUGAGAAGGAUUAACUUUUCACUAACUUUAUUUUGCUUAGAGCAUUAAAGUUUUUUGCUCGUUGUACUUUAACUAAUCCCUUGAAAUUAGUUUUGGAGCGUGCCUUAAUAGAAAAAAGUAACCGUAUAAUUAACCUAUAAAUUUAAACUAUGCUUUAAGUUAAAGUUGUUGUGAAGACAUCAUUAUUAUAAGUUUUGAGAUUUUUGCGCUAUAUCUACGUAUAGAAACUUUUGAAAUUUUCUUCAGAAAUGCAAGGUAAACCUGAAUUAUUUUUAAAUGAUUAUUUUUAAAUGAUUUGAAGAGUAUGAUUUUUUGUGUUACUUCAAAUAGUUAACUAUGUUAAAAGUGUUUUAUUAUUAUACGGCUUUUUGUUAUUUAUUACCGGUUUUAUCUGGUUUUUCUUGAUUAUUCAAUUUUUUGGAUUGUAAAAGUUUUUGUUACGGAUAUAUUAGUUAGUUAACACGAUGUUACAAGAAAGAGAACAACUUAGCUAAAA